GCAAGUUUUUAAUGACUUAUCGCGUAAACAAACUUAUUCACGUGUGAUUUUAAUUUUAUUUCUUGUUGAAUGGAAACAAUGCAACUGUGAAGUUGUAUUUUUUCUUUAUUAGUGGAUUACUGACAAGGUUUUUCGCACAUUUGAAAUGGAAACGUAGCUAACGCUAAUGGGUUAGCGCCACAACCCCGCAUGUACAAACACGUUUGGGCAGUGACAUCAGAGCCGGAAGCUGCAGGAACUUGACCAAGACUCUUAAACCUCUUAUCAGCUCAGAUGCAUCCCUCAGGAAAGUGUCCAGUGGUUUCACAGCCUGACUGUUCACUGAGCGAUCGGGGGAAAAGGUUUCAGCUGCGGUUUUUCUUCUGGCUCUGAUAUACACGACAAAAACUCCGACCUUAACCAUUAUAGUUCCUUAUUAAGGAAUUCAAACUUCACAUUUUGUAUCCUCUUGCAUAAAUGUCUGCAUUAGUUGGGAUUUAAUGUCAUAAACACCAUAUUAAGCUGGUCUAAGUGUCAACUUGAGUUUAAAUGAUGUCUUAAUGUUUAUUUUAUUGUUGUUUUUUUUUUUCAAAUAAAAAAAUGUGCAUG
Poecilia latipinna (sailfin molly) is the source of this 588-nucleotide long non-coding RNA. RefSeq lists it as uncharacterized. The transcript is spliced from 3 exons. Lineage: Eukaryota; Metazoa; Chordata; Actinopteri; Cyprinodontiformes; Poeciliidae. The record is from RefSeq and is a predicted model, not a curated record.